Molecule: ribosomal RNA, 253 nt
Filed under: uncultured bacterium
Lineage: Bacteria
Description: partial 16S ribosomal RNA
Rfam family: Bacterial small subunit ribosomal RNA
Source: RNAcentral
UACGGAGGGUGCAAGCGUUAUCCGGAAUCAUUGGGUUUAAAGGGUCCGCAGGCGGAUGUAUAAGUCAGUGGUGAAAGCCUACAGCUUAACUGUAGAACUGCCAUUGAUACUGUACGUCUUGAAUUCGGUCGAAGUGGGCGGAAUGUGUCAUGUAGCGGUGAAAUGCAUAGAUAUGACACAGAACACCGAUAGCGAAGGCAGCUCACUAGGCCUGAAUUGACGCUCAGGGACGAAAGCGUGGGGAGCGAACAGG